GAGGAAUAUUGGUCAAUGGGCGCGAGCCUGAACCAGCCAAGUAGCGUGCAGGAUGACGGCCCUAUGGGUUGUAAACUGCUUUUGUAUGGGGAUAAAGUCAAUCACGUGUGAUUGUUUGCAGGUACCAUACGAAUAAGGACCGGCUAAUUCCGUGCCAGCAGCCGCGGUAAUACGGAAGGUCCAGGCGUUAUCCGGAUUUAUUGGGUUUAAAGGGAGCGUAGGCCGGAGAUUAAGUGUGUUGUGAAAUGUAGACGCUCAACGUCUGACUUGCAGCGCAUACUGGUUUCCUUGAGUACGCACAACGUUGGCGGAAUUCGUCGUGUAGCGGUGAAAUGCUUAGAUAUGACGAAGAACUCCGAUUGCGAAGGCAGCUGACGGGAGCGCAACUGACGCUUAAGCUCGAAGGUGCGGGUAUCAAACAGGAUUAGAUACCCUGGUAGUCCGCACAGUAAACGAUGGAUGCCCGCUGUUGGUACCUGGUAUCAGCGGCUAAGCGAAAGCAUUAAGCAUCCCACCUGGGGAGUACGCCGGCAACGGUG
Molecule: ribosomal RNA, 539 nt
Filed under: uncultured bacterium
Lineage: Bacteria
Description: bacterial SSU rRNA
Rfam family: Bacterial small subunit ribosomal RNA
Source: RNAcentral